AAUUUAAAUAGUUUAACAAAAACAUUGGUCUUGUAAAUCAAAAAUAAGAUAUUAUUUUCUUUUUAAAUA
RNAcentral lists this transfer RNA (69 nucleotides) under Brillia bifasciata. RNAcentral's name for it is "tRNA-Thr". It matches the Rfam family "tRNA". From Rfam's summary of the family: Transfer RNA (tRNA) molecules are approximately 80 nucleotides in length. Their secondary structure includes four short double-helical elements and three loops (D, anti-codon, and T loops). Further hydrogen bonds mediate the characteristic L-shaped molecular structure. tRNAs have two regions of fundamental functional importance: the anti-codon, which is responsible for specific mRNA codon recognition, and the 3' end, to which the tRNAs corresponding amino acid is attached (by aminoacyl-tRNA synthetases). tRNAs cope with the degeneracy of the genetic code in two manners: having more than one tRNA (with a specific anti-codon) for a particular amino acid; and 'wobble' base-pairing, i.e. permitting non-standard base-pairing at the 3rd anti-codon position. Lineage: Eukaryota; Metazoa; Arthropoda; Insecta; Diptera; Chironomidae. The record is from RNAcentral.